UGAAUUUUGCUGUGAUCGCAUAGCUCUGCUUCCCCCUACUUCACGAUCGCAUUCCAUUUUCCCGUUUUCGCAUUGAGCAAGUUGAGCUGGUGGCUCAGAGAUCCACUUCUUCUAUGCGAUCGCAGGACCCCAUAUGCGAUCGCAUAGGUCUACUCCUUCCUCUUUCGCGAUCGCAGACCAUUCCCUACAUUCGCAUAGACUAAUUUCUG
This 209-nucleotide long non-coding RNA is filed under the name Nicotiana benthamiana. RNAcentral describes it as "long non-coding RNA (NBEN_LNC006595)". Lineage: Eukaryota; Viridiplantae; Streptophyta; Magnoliopsida; Solanales; Solanaceae. The record is from RNAcentral.